This 465-nucleotide ribosomal RNA is filed under the name uncultured bacterium. RNAcentral's name for it is "bacterial SSU rRNA". It matches the Rfam family "Bacterial small subunit ribosomal RNA", at positions 917 to 1382 of the family's 1533-position model. The record is from RNAcentral.
GGGCCCGCACAAGCGGUGGAUGAUGUGGUUUAAUUCGAUGCAACGCGAAAAACCUUACCUACCCUUGACAUGCCAGGAACGCUCCAGAAAUGGGGCGGUGCUCGAAAGAGAACCUGGACACAGGUGCUGCAUGGCUGUCGUCAGCUCGUGUCGUGAGAUGUUGGGUUAAGUCCCGCAACGAGCGCAACCCUUGCCAUUAGUUGCUACAUUCAGUUGAGCACUCUAAUGGGACUGCCGGUGACAAACCGGAGGAAGGUGGGGAUGACGUCAAGUCCUCAUGGCCCUUAUGGGUAGGGCUACACACGUCAUACAAUGGCGCGUACAGAGGGUUGCCAACCCGUGAGGGGGAGCCAAUCCCAGAAAGCGCGUCGUAGUCCGGAUUGAAGUCUGCAACUCGACUUCAUGAAGUCGGAAUCGCUAGUAAUCGCGGAUCAGCAUGUCGCGGUGAAUACGUUCCCGGGCCUU